GAGAAAAGCAGAGGGGAGAUUAUAAGACAUUGUGUGUCAAGACCAAAGAGGAUGGGCAUUAGCCAAGACCAGUGGAAAAUUCCUGGGAGAUUCAAGCAGGGCAGUGCCAUUGUGUUUCAGGAAAAUCUCUUGGCCUUUGUGGUUUGCAGGAGGUCAGAGUUGCCUACAAGGAGAAUGGGUGUUCCAGUCUUCCAGGCAAGAAAAGAUGACAGUCAUAACCAGGAGGUCACUGCAGGAGAAUGGGAGGAGGGCUGAGAAGUACCUUGGAGAUGGAGCCAAGAGAACUUGGUCCUGAAGAAAAGAGAUGGUGUCAGCAUAGAUGAAAUGAAAGGAACCCUUUCAGGCAUGAAGGGAAAGCUAACCAAGAGCUCACUCUGUGGAAGCUAAACAGUUAAUUCGCAAGAGGAAGCUGCUAAUCAAAUGAACAAGUGUGAAGUGAAAAUGCCAACCCCAGUGAAGACGCAGCCAAAGCUGGCAAAGGCAAAUGGAGAAAACGCAGGCAGCAUCAGUGAGCUGUUCCUGGAAAUGGAGUCUAACUACAUUAACGCAUUCAGACAGAGGGAAACAGAUGGUCGGUGUGAUGUCCUCAGUCACUUCACAAGCUGGAUAAAUAAUUGUUGCCAGGGAAGGAAUAAUAAAAGCAGGAUUUUGCCAACAUGAGCUGUUGCCCUGGCCUUUGGUUCCGGGAGUGCUUCUGGAGGUUUUUCCAACAGAUUUUUCAAGGAAGCAAAAAAGACAGCAAAUUACUAAGAAUGAAAUUCACUUUUUAAUUUUUCCCACUGAGUCUUCGUCAACGGAUAAUCCCUACCUAUCAAGACAUAUGACAGUUCUCUCUCAUUUCAAUGUUGUAUGCAUAAAAAGCAAAUUCAGAACCUUCAUGUGAAAUGGAAUUGUAAAGGACUCUGGCUGCAACGCUAUUUGUUGAUAAAGCAAAAAUUGAUUUUCAACAGAAGUUAGAAUGAGGAAAGUCAAAUUUGGAGGACAGUGUAAAACCUCUAACAUUUUCAUGAGCUUUGAAGGUAGACUCUGCUGUUCAGAGAUUGCUCAAGACUAAACUGGUCCCUGCCGAGGUAUCUAUGGACUGUUCUGGAAGGAAAGGUACAAGGAGCUGACAUGAACCUGAUUUUUAACCUGAAGCAGACAGAGUUGGGACCAGCUGGCCUGCAGUCCUGUGAGCAAGAAAUCGAUGUGCAUACUCAUGAGUAAACCAUAAACAUUUGCUGUUAUAACCCAGGAAGCUUUGGGAGUUGAUUUUUAUGUGGUGUUAUGGCAACAAUUGUUGAUGAAUGUGGGUAUACAGUAUUGGAAGUUCUCAUGUGUCUUUGAUGGCCAGCCUCUCAGUGCUUACAGAGCUCCUCAGCCUCACCAGAUAUUUCCCACUUGAAUAAUGAAGUUGUAUGGUUGGGAAUAGACAUUUUGGCUAUUUGGGUCAAUAGGUUUAGGACCUUUGGAGGAUUCAAGACUGGUAGAAAACCACAGCAUGGUCUAAGAUGCAGGUGUUCAUGCCUGCAGGUAAGUAGAUGCAUCAUUAACUUCAAUAAUAAUAAAUAAAAUUUAAAGAGAUUUUUCGAUUAUCAUAAACUGAAUGAACUAAAAUUAACUUUCUAACAAAUAGCCACAAAUUUCUAGCGUGUUUAUCUUUCCCAUAUGUUUCCCAGCUCUGCUAAGUUGGAAGCCUCAAAACCAUCAACCAAUAAAUCAUUCCUUGGGUUUCACUUUGGGGACCAAUUAAAACUAUCAACAUGUUUUCUUCCAUUACACUGGGAGUUUUAUCUCCAGCUGUUGGGAUCUGAGCUUCUAAAAGUAUGAAGCAUGACUACCCAGGGAAAAGGCACGUGAGACAAUUGGAGGAAAAUAGACUCUAUUGAAAGCUAGUUUAUGUAAGCUUAGUGCUUCCACCCUCCUCACUUCAUUCAGAAGGCACAAGCUUUACUAAACAUGUGGUAAAUAAUACAGCUGGCACCACAGCAGGAAAGGUGCUGCCCCUAAACCUGGAGGGAGAGCUCCUGGCAGAUAAUCCAAGGGCUGGUAAUUUAUCACUUAUGCAAACACAGCACCUCUUGUGGGUCUCCUUUUACAUCUCCUGUUCUGUGAAACUUUCCACUGAAGACUUGGAUAAAUGUUUUCCAGAUGGUAUCAAUCAUGGAGUUACCUACUAAUAGGAAUCAAGGAAAAGUCAUUGAAUUAAUUAGCAAGUCAAACAGGAAAGGAAGAAGGACUGUGCUUGAAAGUAGAAAAAGAAGAGACCACUUGGAAUUAUCUAAUCAUCUAGAAACAAGGUCAUUCAGGAAAAGGGGGCUUGAUUAAGCAUCAGGAAACCUGAGACCUGGCCAACAGCCUGGUUCCUCCAAAUCACAGGCUUUGGAGUCUAACAGAUAGAGGUUAGAAUCUCAGCUCAGUCUCUAACUAUGCAUAGUGGGCAAGAUUCUUGGCCUCUCUGAGCCUCUGUUUCCUCAUAUGCUAAGGGAAAAAAGGAUGAAAUAUGCAAACUAUGUAAUACCAUUUUACAGACUUAGAUGUGUAGCAUGUGAAGCACUUAGCAAAGUGGCUACCAAUAGGCGGCACUUAAAAAAAAAAUUCUUUACUCUCACCUGUGAUCAGUUAAAUGAUUGGAAAACUAUUCACCCCUGUCUGAAACUACACCAUUGCCAUGAUCACAUCUUGAGCAGAGUGCACUUUCCCACUCCUUGCUUUGGGCUGACUACAUGAUUUGCUUAGACCAAGCAAUGUGGGUGGAAGUGACAAUGGGCUCGUUUUUAGACCAGGACUUAAGAGGCAUUAUGUUUCUACUUGCCCUUUGCACCUCCCCCAUCACCACAAGAAAAAUAUACCCAGGCUGUCUUGCUGGUCCAAGAAGGAGGAUAAAAGACACGAGAAGCAAAGCUGCCAACCCCAGGAAGCAAAGCUUCCAAACCCCUCCCAACACGAAGACAUGCGAGUGAUAAUAAAUAAUGGUUGUUUUUAGCCACUGAGUUUUGACGUGGAUUAAUUUCAGCUGCUGUAUCUCACAGAUUAUGUUAUCUCACAUUCCUUCUCUGGGUUCUAAUUGCAUAUCUGCUCAGGACUUACUAAAUGAAUAUCUUUUACAAUGCUGAUAUUAGAGGUAAGGCCCAGAAAAUGGCAAGCUAAAGAUGUCCCAGAAACUUCUACCGUAUAGUUGGCUUAAAUCUUAAACUCCAAACUUAGAUGUGUAAGAAAAGUAAUUUAACUUGGUUAUGACAAGACCUUUUUAUUUUUUAACAGUUUUAUUACAAAUCCCCUAUUUUGCUGGUUAGCAGAAACAUCUCUCAGUCAAUUCAGGGUUUCUCCUCCCUUAAGGAUUGGGUUUAACUUUAGGAGGCUCUGCAUGAUGAGGAGGUGGAAGGUGUUGGGAGGGAGAACCAGGGCACUGUCGUUCCUGUUGUUGAUCUCUGCAGUGCUCUCUCUUGGUCUACGUAAGUGAGGAUCUAAAAUCUGAUUCAUUCUUGGGUAAUCUUCUUUUAGAAGCCCAUGAUUAGACCCAACUGGAGGAAGUUUGGAGCUUCUCUCAGACAUGUAAGAAUUGUUCUGAAGAAUCUGCAUCUUGUUGGGUGAAGGACUUCAGAAUGUGCAAUAAAAAUGCAAUAGUCUUGGACCUAUGUAACUGGAAGGAACUGGUGGACAAGCUCUUACUGCUUCUCCAGGUUCUCACAAGAAAGCAGGCAUGGAUUCCUUUUGCACAGCUCCUCCAGGCUUUCUGGGCCCUGUCAUUCCUUCUUCUAUCUUCUGGGUUGAGCAACAUGCAAUCUCCCCUUGUGCAGAAGCCCAAAUAGCUACUGAAAAUGUGUCCUCUCUGACUUUCCCCAUUUCUUGAACUCUGAGAGACUUUUUCUAGUAUCAGUUCUGAGGAGCAUUGCUGUUUUCCUUCCUAUCAUCUGGAAGACCUAGACUUUAAAACUCAAAACCUGAGAAAAACUUCCUUUUUUUUCUCUCUUUUGUCUGGAUCAUCACUACCUUGAAAUACUAAAUUAGCAAAGUCCUAACUAGAAACUGAAUUGGCUAAAGAGUCAAGGAGCAACAGGUAAUUCCAAGAAAAACAACAGCAAACUUACAUCAGUUAACAUUUCAAAGCUAUUUUCCUUUGCAAUUUUGUGUAUCUGUUUUUAUGGAAUGCAAGAGAUAAUAGGCUAAAUGCUAUUUUGCAUAUGUGUUACAUUGGAUUUCUCACAUAUUCUACUACUUAACUCAAGAUGUUGAGUAAAUAAAUGAGUUAAUAAACUGGAAUUUCUAUAUCAGCUCUUGGUUCUAGUUAUGUUUCGUUUGUUUUGGAUUUUUUUUCUUUUUGAAUGCUUAUUCACUGGCCCAGCUGUAUUUAUGCCUAGAUUAACCAGAUACAUUGCCA
Molecule: long non-coding RNA, 4360 nt
Filed under: Homo sapiens (human)
Lineage: Eukaryota; Metazoa; Chordata; Mammalia; Primates; Hominidae
Description: HSALNT0142460
Source: RNAcentral